GGGAGGCUCUGCUGACUAAUUCGGUCCAAGCAGAGCUUCCUGCCCAUCUCCUAGGAUCCUCUGCUUGGCCUGCACCUACUCAGAAGCCUUCAAGAUACAAAGCUCUUUGAAAGCAGAUCUCAUUGAAUCUUUCCAUCAAUGUGAGAGGGGUGGUUGAGAGAACCCUGUAAAGCUGACAGAUGGUGCUCAAUAAAUGCUUGAAUCUCCACUUCAAUUGUUCCAGAAUCCAGAGAAGGGACUUCCCUGGCCGUCCAGUGAUUUGGACUCCGCGCUUCCAUUCCAGGGGGCACAGAUUCGAUCCCGUCAAGGAACUAAGAUCCUGCGUACUAUACGGUGCAGCCAAAAGAGAAGUAGAAGAAAAUCCAAAGAAGAUAAGGGCCUUACCUGCACAUAGCCUCACCACCAAAAUGCCCCUUCCCUGCCAUUCUGAAGGAACUGGAGUCAGGCAUAAAAGCACGUUUCUGCAAGGGCCUAUGGGGAUUUUCCAGAAAGACUCCAUUCAGCUGGAGAAUUCCAUUCCUGGCCCUGCCACCCAGGGCUCAGGCUAAGGAGAGAUGCUCCGGCUCAUUCCGGUUCUGCCCAGUUCUUGCUCCUUGCCUGCCAAACCCACAUCAGGGUGUCCCACACUGUAAUCUCUUGCUGUUUUCUGUGGAGUGUGAGGUGCCUGAGGAUCCAAGGGGUCCCUCAGAGGCCUGACACAGAACAGUGAGGGGCCCUCUCCUGACCCCCCUCCCCAUCCCUUCCUGGGCCCUCCCUUUCCUUCACCCAGCAUGUUUUAGCAUUUUCCCUGGAGCCAGCCCCUGCCCUCAGGGUCACCCUGGAUGAACACGGACAAACCAAUACAAUGGACACUGAUUUGGGGCACAGAUGGCACCUGACACAGCUUGGGGGUGGGUAUGACAAAGGCAGCUGGAGAGGGGAAGUGGAGCCAGCUUGCGACAACUGCCUGGACAGAAGCUCAGAGCUUUGGGAUGUACUGUUACGUUUCCGAGAAACUGGAGAACAGGUCUGAGGGAGUCAGAUGGACACUGAGGUCCAAAUAGGAGCUGAACUGAACUCAUGCAUUGUAUCUACUUAGCUGGAGUUGGACCCCAAUUCCCUUCCCACUCCAGCCUCUCCCCUCCACAGC
Molecule: long non-coding RNA, 1129 nt
Organism: Bos taurus (domestic cattle)
Lineage: Eukaryota; Metazoa; Chordata; Mammalia; Artiodactyla; Bovidae
Source: Ensembl